This 495-nucleotide ribosomal RNA is filed under the name uncultured eukaryote. RNAcentral's name for it is "bacterial SSU rRNA". It matches the Rfam family "Eukaryotic small subunit ribosomal RNA", at positions 547 to 1039 of the family's 1831-position model. The record is from RNAcentral.
AUCGGAGGGCAAGUCUGGUGCCAGCAGCCGCGGUAAUUCCAGCUCCAAUAGCGUACGUUAAAAGUUGCUGCAGUUAAAAAGCUCGUAGUUGAACGUUCGGGUUCCGCGGGACGGGGCCGCCCCGCGAGGGACGGCGCCGCCCCGGGGCUCGUGAUAUCUUAUCUCGCCGCCCGUCGCGAGGCGGACGGAGGGAUGGAUGAGGUUACCUGGAAAAAAUCGGGGCGAUCUAGGCGGCGAACCUCGCCAACGAACGAUCGGACAUGGGAUAACGGAAGAGGGCGUCGGCUCGACUUCGUCGGUUCCUCGGGCCGAGGCACGUACGGUGAAUAGGGACGGUCGGGGCCGCCCGUACCGGGUCGUGAGAGGUGAAAUUCUAGGAUCGACCCGAGACGAACUGCCGCGAAAGCAUUCGGCAAGGACGCUUUUCAUUAAUCAAGAACGAAAGUCGGGGAGUCGAAGACGAUCAGAUACCGUCGUAGUCCCGACCGUAAACGA